UCAAACUUGGUCAUUUAGAGGAAGUAAAAGUCGUAACAAGGUCUCCGUAGGUGAACCUGCGGAGGGAUCAUUACAGAGUUGCAAAACUCCUAAAACCCUUUGUAAAUUUACCUAUUUCUCUUGUUCCUUCGGCAGGUGGUCCCUGGGAGGGUCCUCCAGCCUGUGUGGUACAGGUGCCUGCCGAAGAACAAUCAAAACUCUGUUACUGUGGUGUUAUACUUCUGAGUUAUUAAAAAAUAAAUCAAAACUUUCAACAACGGAUCUCUUGGUUCUGGCAUCGAUGAAGAACGCAGC
RNAcentral lists this unclassified non-coding RNA (294 nucleotides) under uncultured fungus. RNAcentral describes it as "partial contains small subunit ribosomal RNA, internal transcribed spacer 1, and 5.8S ribosomal RNA". The stretch from base 1 to 73 matches the Rfam family "Eukaryotic small subunit ribosomal RNA", at positions 1759 to 1831 of the family's 1831-position model. The record is from RNAcentral. Lineage: Eukaryota; Fungi.